Pimephales promelas (fathead minnow) is the source of this 1353-nucleotide non-coding RNA. NCBI's taxonomy places the organism in Eukaryota, Metazoa, Chordata, Actinopteri, Cypriniformes, Leuciscidae. The record is from RefSeq and is a predicted model, not a curated record.
UAUGAAAAGGCAUGGAGGCGGAGCAGCGCUUGACUCAAGGAAACGAAGUGCAGGAGUUACUUUCCAGUAAAGAUAAUGCAUGGAUUUGUCGUACCUGUUGCGCCACAGCAGCGGCAAGGUUUCCCCCCGCGCUGUCACCUGACACAGCCACUCUUUUCAAGUCUAUAGAGUACCGGCCCAACACCUCAGCUGUCAGGAUGUGUUUUGAGGCCUGAAAAACAUCAUUAUACUGAUCUGGGAAACGUCCAUCUGGAGCCAGUCUGUACCUGAACAUACAAAAUAUACAAUUAAGGCCUUUAAUAAAGCAAAGACCAUAUGCAAGAUCUACAAGAUGCACAACAUUGCUUACUCAACAGAUAUUACGACUGCAUCCAGCUCUUCAGCCAUCGCCAUGCACUGAGGGAAAUAUGGUUUCAUCUCUUUGAAGACAGGGAGAGCAAUUAAAGAUGUUAUGCUGCAAUUGUAAUUAAUGAAUGGGACGCCCAAGAAAUACUAAACCUGGUGUCUUUCAUAAUUCAUUUUUUUUUUCUGACCAGAAAGCACUUUCUUAUUUUAUCAGUGACAUGUUUUGUUUUUUCACCCCUAACCCCAACUUUGGAUAGAUAAUUUAUAAUAAAUACAGCAAUAUUCCAUUAAAAAAAGAACUGUCAUGGUGAUUUCAUAAAUCCCCUCAGCAUGACUUGAUUUCAUGGUGUCUUAAAAACGAGAAGUUCCUUUUUCUACCACAUGAGGGUGCUUCGAGACUGCUGAGCAAAUCUCUUUUUCUCGCUCCCUCUGUCUACAACUUCUAAUGCAUUCAACAAAAUGCUUGACUUACAUGUAAUCAUAUGCAGCUUAACAUUAACAAUCUAUCACCUACUUGUGCUACAGAGUGUCCAUCCGCCUCCAUGGAAAUAGACCACGCCUCUUUUUAAACGCUGCUCCUGCCCUUCAGCAGUGGACUCGAAUACUAGCGCUUCCACUCCUCCAAAGGAAGCCUCUGUGAUCCGGACGGUCGGUCUGGACUUGUUACUUUUAACAUCCUCCCAAGACGAAAGAUUCCACUGAAAAUCAGCAAAACCACUGGUUUCAUUCCCCAAGGAAAUGAAUGCAUGCAUUCAGAAUGUAUUAUUCAUUAAGAUAUGUGAUGCACUCCUUGAGGCAUGGCGAUGUGCAUCUGUGCAGACUUCACGCCCAGAUGCAGCUGCACAAAACUAGGGCAGAGAGCACAAUUGCAUGCUUGUGCGUGCGCAUACACAAAAAUGCACACCACUGCAAAUCUUGAGUGUGAGAGGCAUGAACUAACUUGUCCUCCCAUCUUGCUCAUAGAGCAUUUGGAAAAACAAAAAAUUAAACCUUAUUUAAUAAAUGUCC